UACGGGGGGAGCAAGCGCUGUUCGGAUUUACUGGGCGUAAAGGGCGCGUAGGCGGCCACCGCAAGUCGACUGUGAAAUCUCCGGGCUUAACCCGGAAAGGUCAGCCGAUACUGCGGGGCUAGAGUGCAGAAGGGGCAACUGGAAUUCUCGGUGUAGCGGUGAAAUGCGUAGAUAUCGAGAGGAACACCUGCGGCGAAGGCGGGUUGCUGGGCUGACACUGACGCUGAUGCGCGAAAGCUAGGGGAGCGAACGGG
This 254-nucleotide ribosomal RNA is filed under the name uncultured bacterium. RNAcentral's name for it is "partial 16S ribosomal RNA". It matches the Rfam family "Bacterial small subunit ribosomal RNA", at positions 524 to 776 of the family's 1533-position model. The record is from RNAcentral.